Molecule: long non-coding RNA, 209 nt
Filed under: Elaeis guineensis (African oil palm)
Lineage: Eukaryota; Viridiplantae; Streptophyta; Magnoliopsida; Arecales; Arecaceae
Description: long non-coding RNA (EGUI_LNC033616)
Source: RNAcentral
CAUGGUUGUUCCAAAUGCAAGAUUUAUACAAUACAUUGGUGCCAGGUUCCGUGUGGAUGUGCAACUGUUACGUCUGUUUGGCUUCACAAAUUUCAGACUUCAUCACAUAUUUUGGGUUGUUGUGCUUUAUAUGCCUUUUUGGAUUGGUUGUUCUUCUCUGAUUCCCGAAAUGUUUGUCAACUACCUUUAAUGCUCAACACUCCAUAUGC